CCUACGGGUGGCAGCAGUGAGGAAUAUUGGUCAAUGGGCGGAAGCCUGAACCAGCCAAGUAGCGUGCGGGAUGAAGGCCCUACGGGUCGUAAACCGCUUUUGCACGGGGAUAACACCCUCCACUUGUGGAGGUCUGCAGGUACCGUGCGAAUAAGGGCCGGCUAAUUCCGUGCCAGCAGCCGCGGUAAUACGGAAGGCCCGAGCGUUAUCCGGAUUCAUUGGGCUUAAAGGGAGCGUAGGCGGGCGUUCAAGUCAGCUGUAAAAUCGCGCGGCUCAACCGCGCCCCGCAGUUGAAACUGGCAGUCUUGAGUACAGUAGAGGUGGGCGGAAUUCGUGGUGUAGCGGUGACAUGCUUAGAUAUCGCGAAGAACUCCGAUUGCGAAGGCAGCUCACUGGACUGCAACUGACACUGAGGCUCGAAAGUGUGGGUAUCAAACAGGAUUAGAUACCCCAGUAGUC
Molecule: ribosomal RNA, 459 nt
Filed under: uncultured bacterium
Lineage: Bacteria
Description: partial 16S ribosomal RNA
Rfam family: Bacterial small subunit ribosomal RNA
Source: RNAcentral